GCCACUUAGUCCAAGACUUUGGAAACAAUCCCAUAAGGUGAGUUGAUGAAUGAUCCACAGGAUGCUUUAUCCACUAUGGCCUUAUUUUAUUACUCCAAUACCAUAUAAAAGAUUUGGAGAAGCAUCUUCUCCGGCAUCUCAUAGGUGGGGCAUUUUAAUAGUGUUUCCUUGAAACAUCCCCAAGCAUCGUACCACAGUUCUUCAAGGUAUUUGCAUAAACGAACAAUCUUAUCCUGCAACUUCAACAAUCUAAAUAGUGGGAAGUAAUGACAUAAGAAGUCCUCCAUAAGACUUGUCCAUGAAGUAAUAGAUCCGACGGGGAAAUAACUUAUCCAUAGCACUGCCUUUCUCAUUAGAG
RNAcentral lists this long non-coding RNA (358 nucleotides) under Capsicum annuum. RNAcentral describes it as "long non-coding RNA (CANN_LNC012604)". Lineage: Eukaryota; Viridiplantae; Streptophyta; Magnoliopsida; Solanales; Solanaceae. The record is from RNAcentral.